Molecule: ribosomal RNA, 429 nt
Filed under: uncultured Rhodocyclaceae bacterium
Lineage: Bacteria; Pseudomonadati; Pseudomonadota; Betaproteobacteria; Rhodocyclales; Rhodocyclaceae
Description: bacterial SSU rRNA
Rfam family: Bacterial small subunit ribosomal RNA
Source: RNAcentral
UGGGGAAUUUUGGACAAUGGGCGCAAGCCUGAUCCAGCCAUGCCGCGUGAGUGAAGAAGGCCUUCGGGUUGUAAAGCUCUUUCGGCCGGGACGAAAUCGUCUGGGUGAAUAAUCCAGGUGGAUGACGGUACCGGAGUAAGAAGCACCGGCUAACUACGUGCCAGCAGCCGCGGUAAUACGUAGGGUGCGAGCGUUAAUCGGAAUUACUGGGCGUAAAGCGUGCGCAGGCGGCUUUGUAAGACAGCUGUGAAAUCCCCGGGCUUAACCUGGGAAUGGCGGUUGUGACUGCAAGGCUGGAGUGUGGCAGAGGGGGGUGGAAUUCCUGGUGUAGCAGUGAAAUGCGUAGAGAUCAGGAGGAACACCGAUGGCGAAGGCAGCCCCCUGGGCCGAUACUGACGCUCAUGCACGAAAGCGUGGGGAGCAAACAGG